Molecule: ribosomal RNA, 497 nt
Filed under: uncultured bacterium
Lineage: Bacteria
Description: partial 16S ribosomal RNA
Rfam family: Bacterial small subunit ribosomal RNA
Source: RNAcentral
GAUGAACGCUGGCGGCGUGCCUAAUACAUGCAAGUCGAGCGAACAGACGAGGAGCUUGCUCCUCUGACGUUAGCGGCGGACGGGUGAGUAACACGUGGAUAACCUACCUAUAAGACUGGGAUAACUUCGGGAAACCGGAGCUAAUACCGGAUAAUAUAUUGAACCGCAUGGUUCAAUAGUGAAAGACGGUUUUGCUGUCACUUAUAGACGGAUCCGCGCCGCAUUAGCUAGUUGGUAAGGUAACGGCUUACCAAGGCAACGAUGCGUAGCCGACCUGAGAGGGUGAUCGGCCACACUGGAACUGAGACACGGUCCAGACUCCUACGGGAGGCAGCAGUAGGGAAUCUUCCGCAAUGGGCGAAAGCCUGACGGAGCAACGCCGCGUGAGUGAUGAAGGUCUUCGGAUCGUGAAACUCUGUUAUUAGGGAAGAACAAAUGUGUAAGUAACUAUGCACGUCUUGACGGUACCUAAUCAGAAAGCCACGGCUAACUACGUG